ACACACACUGAAGCAGCCAUAACAUCACUAAUUGAAACUACAACAGCCCUAAUCCAACACUGUAUAGAACACAAUCACAGAUUCAAUCUUGACCAAACUCAAAUUAUUGACCACAGUUACAAACCGACGACACUACCAUUUCUAGAAAUGUGUCACAUUACAAACUCAGACCACACAAUCAACAAACGAACAGACGUAGAUAGACUCAGUACCACAUACGCAGCUUUGUUGCACAGCAUCAAGACGAUACAUGAACGCGACAAACCGAGCACAACACGACAAUCUGACGAUGAAGCAUAGUUAUUAAGAUAGGGCAUUUCUGCUACCAAAGCUUGUUCAACCAUAAGAAGGGGGUUGCUAGAAGUAGAUUUGCGCCAACAGCGUACAGUCCGUUGCAAAACUAGACAAACGAAAAUUGUCAUGUACCAACAACAAAACAACCAGACAGUUACAGUUAGACGAAACAUAAGACCAAAAACGAACAAUUAGUUACCCCUGAAGAUGACACAAAACCCCAGUGUCGAAACGUCGGGCAAACAAUAAACUUCGUUUUCCGUUUUGAAGACUGCGUAGCCGUU
Molecule: long non-coding RNA, 578 nt
Organism: Aedes albopictus (Asian tiger mosquito)
Lineage: Eukaryota; Metazoa; Arthropoda; Insecta; Diptera; Culicidae
Exons: 3
Source: RefSeq, a predicted model, not a curated record